This is a long non-coding RNA of Zingiber officinale, 2269 nucleotides long. RefSeq lists it as uncharacterized. The transcript has 2 exons. The record is from RefSeq and is a predicted model, not a curated record. NCBI's taxonomy places the organism in Eukaryota, Viridiplantae, Streptophyta, Magnoliopsida, Zingiberales, Zingiberaceae.
UCCACGCUACAUACAUGAUACGUCUUACGCGGGUAUCCAACCUCACCUCAUGUUGCCCUAAUUUAGCCGUCAUCUCGUUCCUCGUCUUCGCUAUAAAUGCCCGUCCAGCACUCAAAGAGAAGAAACCACACCAUUGUUUCGGCGGCGGGGCAGAAAGCUUCGACUGGAGAUCGUCUCGGCGGACUUCCUCCUAUUCGAGCUAUUUGGUGUAAUGUUCUUCUUUUUCUGCUGAACCUCAUCUUAUUUCUUCUCGUCGAUGGUUUUCAUGCAGGAAGUGAUGCGGUUUAAGAGACCAUUCUCGAUAUGAAAUGAUCAGGCAUUUCGAAGCCGGAUCGAUGUAUUCGUCUACUAACGAUGAUAAGUUGAUGGAUUGAUUUGAUUCUCGGCACCUCUUUUUCACUUUUUGUGUUGGGUUACUUGAGGUUUAUUUGAUUUUAUGUUAAUGAAGAUCUUCAAUUUUUUUUUGUUUCUUUUGUAAAACUACUUUGAUGGGUUAGAACUGUGAAGUUGGGGGGCAAUGGUAAAGCGCUUAUGGACGGUCAGAUGCUGAUAAGAACAUGCACAUCAGCAUCUAUUACAAUCACAAGCUAAAGACACCAUUUGCCACUCACAAUCCCUCCUCGAAAGCAAUCAAUUUCGAGGAGAUUACACUUGGUGGCAUUCAUUUUAACUUUAUUUUACAGCUCGUAGUUCAUUUUGUUAUUUUAAUUUUGACUUUAUAGUUUGGGGUAUAAGAUCGUAUCACUUCUGUUAACCAGAUCAUGAUUGAUGGACAUAGAUUAUCUAUCUGAGGGUAUUUGAAAUAUUGCUGAUAUAAAUUACGAACCCUCACAUUUUUUCUUACUAAGUCGUUAUACUAUUUUACUACAUGUUUAUGUUAAUCUUUUGUGCAAAACAAAAUGAUGACUCAAUUUGAGAUUUUCUGCUUAUGGAAGGCCUAGUGCUGAUUUGAAACAAGGACAUCAGCACAACACAAUAUCAUAAGCUAAAGAAAUCAUCUGCCACUUGCAAUCCCUUCUCAAAAUCAAUCAAUUUUGAGGAGACUACACUUGGUGGAAUUCAUUUUAAACUUACAUUCUGCCUAAGUUAAUUGUGAUCGCAAACUCUUUUCUUGCUGAGUUGCUUAAAGUUCAUUAUCUUAUUAUUUUACUUGAUGUUUUGCUAAUCCUUGCAGACAAUAUAUUUUUGAAGGACUGUAUUCUAGAUUUUAAGCGGAAAGAAAAGCAAUAUGCUUAAGGAUAAUCAAGUGUUGAUUUGAAACAGACAUCAAUGCAUAACAAUAUUGUAAACUAUUUGCCACUCACUAAUUCUUCUUGAAAGCAAUCAAUUGGAGAUUGCACUUGCAUUCACAUUCUUUUUAUUUUGGCCUCUUUUAUCUUAUCAAAUUAUGUUGUUUGACCUCAAAAUCAAUCAAUUUUAUUUUGGCCUCUUACUCCAGGUACGUUGCUCUUUAAAUCUGAUCAGGCUAGUAUAGCAUACCAAUACAACUGCAAUGAGGCUAAUUCUGAUUGAUGGAUUAAGCUUAAAUUUUUUAAACAGUAUAAAGAAUAUAAAAUAUUGCCAAACUUGUUUUUCCUCAUUAAUAUGCUCAAGUUAAACUCCAUAUUUUAUAUUCUUUUUCUUUUAUCGUUUGUACAUAAUUUUGAACGGUCCACACGCAUUUCCUGUGGGAUGGAAGGGAAUGUGUUUUUGGAAGGUCAAAUAUUGAUCUGAAACAUGCACAUAAGAAUGGAACUUAACCUGCUUGGUGGCAUUCAUUUUAACCUUAUCAAAUUUUUAUGCUUCUUGUUACAGGAUUUUGUACAGUUUGGGCUUGGUAUAAAUCUAGUUGGGGGAUUAAUAUCACUUCUUUGAUGAUUUUUUUGGGGGCAAAUGUGGGUUUAGAGUAAUUGCCUAUGGACGAUCAAGUGCUUGAUACGAAGCAGAGAAAAUUGCCUUUCCAAUGUACAUCAGCACAAAACAAUGUCAUAAGCUAAAGAGAUACCACAAUCCCUCCUUGCAAGCAAUCAAUUUAGAGGAGAAUACACUUGGUAGCAUACAUUUUGACAAGCUGCUUGCUGCCCUUUGUUUUUUUAUUAUUUGCAGAGAGUAUCACUAGUUGAGGAGGGUACACUAGUUGGCAUUCACUUUAAAGUUGCUGCUGCCUCUUUAUCUCUCAGCAACACGUGAAUGAUUGUACUGACUUUCGUUACUCUUUUAUAUAUAAAUUUCAUCUAUGUACUAGACUUGUGGUAUGAAUUUCUGACUGCAAAUUUUGAUCAGAACUUCA